CCUACGGGAGGCAGCAGUGGGGAAUAUUGGACAAUGGGCGCAAGCCUGAUCCAGCAAUGCCGCGUGAGUGAUGAAGGCCUUAGGGUCGUAAAGCUCUUUUACCAGGGAUGAUAAUGACAGUACCUGGAGAAUAAGCUCCGGCUAACUCCGUGCCAGCAGCCGCGGUAAUACGGAGGGAGCUAGCGUUGUUCGGAAUUACUGGGCGUAAAGCGUACGUAGGCGGUUAUUCAAGUCAGAGGUAAAAGCCCGGGGCUCAACCCCGGAACGGCCUUUGAAACUAGGUAGCUAGAAUCUUGGAGAGGUCAGUGGAAUUCCGAGUGUAGAGGUGAAAUUCGUAGAUAUUCGGAAGAACACCAGUGGCGAAGGCGACUGACUGGACAAGUAUUGACGCUGAGGUACGAAAGCGUGGGGAGCAAACAGGAUUAGAUACCCUGGUAGUCCACGCCGUAAACGAUGAUAACUAGCUGUCCGGGCACUUGGUGCCUGGGUGGCGCAGCUACGACAUUAAGUUAUCCGUCCGUCGGGUAGGUACGGUCGCGAGAAUUAAAACUUAAAAGGUAAAGUUAGUACGGCGUGAGACGUGCCGACGGACGACGACGAGGGAGGUAGG
Molecule: ribosomal RNA, 610 nt
Filed under: uncultured bacterium
Lineage: Bacteria
Description: bacterial SSU rRNA
Rfam family: Bacterial small subunit ribosomal RNA (bases 1-518)
Source: RNAcentral